GAUGAACGCUGGCGGCGUGCCUAAUACAUGCAAGUCGAGCGAACGGACGAGAAGCUUGCUUCUCUGAUGUUAGCGGCGGACGGGUGAGUAACACGUGGAUAACCUACCUAUAAGACUGGGAUAACUUCGGGAAACCGGAGCUAAUACCGGAUAAUAUUUUGAACCGCAUGGUUCAAAAGUGAAAGACGGUCUUGCUGUCACUUAUAGAUGGAUCCGCGCUGCAUUAGCUAGUUGGUAAGGUAACGGCUUACCAAGGCAACGAUGCAUAGCCGACCUGAGAGGGUGAUCGGCCACACUGGAACUGAGACACGGUCCAGACUCCUACGGGAGGCAGCAGUAGGGAAUCUUCCGCAAUGGGCGAAAGCCUGACGGAGCAACGCCGCGUGAGUGAUGAAGGUCUUCGGAUCGUAAAACUCUGUUAUUAGGGAAGAACAUAUGUGUAAGUAACUGUGCACAUCUUGACGGUACCUAAUCAGAAAGCCACGGCUAACUACGUGCCAGCAGCCGCGGUAAUACGUAGGUGGCAAGCGUUAUCCGGAAUUAUUGGGCGUAAAGCGCGCGUAGGCGGUUUUUUAAGUCUGAUGUGAAAGCCCACGGCUCAACCGUGGAGGGUCAUUGGAAACUGGAAAACUUGAGUGCAGAAGAGGAAAGUGGAAUUCCAUGUGUAGCGGUGAAAUGCGCAGAGAUAUGGAGGAACACCGGUGGCGAAGGCGACUUUCUGGUCUGUAACUGACGCUGAUGUGCGAAAGCGUGGGGAUCAAACAGGAUUAGAUACCCUGGUAGUCCACGCCGUAAACGAUGAGUGCUAAGUGUUAGGGGGUUUCCGCCCCUUAGUGCUGCAGCUAACGCAUUAAGCACUCCGCCUGGGGAGUACGACCGCAAGGUUGAAACUCAAAGGAAUUGACGGGGACCCGCACAAGCGGUGGAGCAUGUGGUUUAAUUCGAAGCAACGCGAAGAACCUUACCAAAUCUUGACAUCCUUUGACAACUCUAGAGAUAGAGCUUUCCCCUUCGGGGGACAAAGUGACAGGUGGUGCAUGGUUGUCGUCAGCUCGUGUCGUGAGAUGUUGGGUUAAGUCCCGCAACGAGCGCAACCCUUAAGCUUAGUUGCCAUCAUUAAGUUGGGCACUCUAAGUUGACUGCCGGUGACAAACCGGAGGAAGGUGGGGAUGACGUCAGAUCAUCAUGCCCCUUAUGAUUUGGGCUACACACGUGCUACAAUGGACAAUACAAAGGGCAGCGAAACCGCGAGGUCAAGCAAAUCCCAUAAAGUUGUUCUCAGUUCGGAUUGUAGUCUGCAACUCGACUACAUGAAGCUGGAAUCGCUAGUAAUCGUAGAUCAGCAUGCUACGGUGAAUACGUUCCCGGGUCU
RNAcentral lists this ribosomal RNA (1372 nucleotides) under uncultured bacterium. RNAcentral's name for it is "bacterial SSU rRNA". It matches the Rfam family "Bacterial small subunit ribosomal RNA", at positions 28 to 1381 of the family's 1533-position model. The record is from RNAcentral.